GACGAACGCUGGCGGCGUGCUUAACACAUGCAAGUCGAACGGAAAGGCCCUGCUUUUGUGGGGUGCUCGAGUGGCGAACGGGUGAGUAACACGUGAGUAACCUGCCCUUGACUUUGGGAUAACUUCAGGAAACUGGGGCUAAUACCGGAUAGGAGCUCCUGCUGCAUGGUGGGGGUUGGAAAGUUUCGGCGGUUGGGGAUGGACUCGCGGCUUAUCAGCUUGUUGGUGGGGUAGUGGCUUACCAAGGCUUUGACGGGUAGCCGGCCUGAGAGGGUGACCGGCCAAAUUGGGACUGAGAUAAGGCCCAGACUCCUACGGGAGGCAGCAGGGGGGAAAAUUGCAAAAUGGGCGGAAGCCUGAUGCAGCAACGCCGCGUGCGGGAUGAAGGCCUUCGGGUUGUAAACCGCUUUCGCCUGGGACGAAGAGUGAGUGACGGGAAUGGGUAAAGAAGCACCGGCUAAAUAAGUG
This 468-nucleotide ribosomal RNA is filed under the name uncultured bacterium. RNAcentral describes it as "partial 16S ribosomal RNA". It matches the Rfam family "Bacterial small subunit ribosomal RNA", at positions 28 to 507 of the family's 1533-position model. The record is from RNAcentral.